AAGGAUUGCCCUACCUACUGCACUAGCUAUUGAAUCUCCUUUGUAAAGAUUUAUACCUAGGUGUGAUAUUUUAAAUUUUUAAAAUUUCCUUACUUAAAUUUCUGAUUUCGACACUCAAUAAGACGGCAAAAGAAUUUUGAAAGUAUUUAAGAAAGAAGGACAAGAAAAAAAGAGAAGAAGAAACUCACUUCACGCAAUUCCUAGAAUUACAAUAUUGGCAGGCGUUACAUAAAACACAUGAAAUAGGCCUAAUUAAGAAGGACAAGUAAAUGAACCGUAAAUGGUGUGAUUAGCACAUCACUAAUAGUGAAGUUACUUUUGCAGUAAAAAGGUUCAAAAUCUGGAAUCUGUUGAUCAUAUUUAGGUGCUUAACACAACAUACAAUUUUAAAAGUAUUAGCGUGUCCUCUUCAUGUACCUCUUGAUUGAUCAGAAACUUGAAAAAGAUUGUAAGGAUCAACCACUCAAUCUUAUACAUCAAAAUAUCAAAUUACCACAAACAGUUGGAUAUAUCCGAGUGCUCUUCUCUCCUUUUUGUAUUUCAUCUCAUGUAUCUGUAUUUUCAUAGUUGAUUGGUGUUUACUUGCUAUUGAAAGUAAUUUAAAACUUCCCCAAUGCUGCUAAUUUGUUCACAUAUCCUGCUAUUUUGAGAAUAGCAAGAGUGACUACUGAGGUGGGCACUUUUUUGAGAGCAUUUAUUCUCUUAGUCCCAGCAUCUUCAGAAAGAAUGGGGAAUCUUCCUUAGAUGUUGUAUUUCUCGCUCUAUUUUUCUUUUUCUGUAUUUUCAGAAUUUCUUGUUUCCCGAUAUUCACAUUAGGGGGAGAUUCUUCAUCUAGCCAAUUGAUUGCCUUCACUGAAGUCUGCAGGCUUCAACAAAUGCAGAGGACGAGAUUUUAUAGAUUAUGAUUAGAAAGCAGAGGCUGGAUCCGGAAUGAUAGAGCGUAGAAGUUCCAUCAUCAAAUCACAGACUCUAUUGUCUAGUGCCACAUAAACCGACCAUUUUAAUAUUCUGCAUAUGAAGAUGGGCCCAAGUCUCAUUCGCUUCCAUCCCAUUUUCUUUGAGUGAUUCAAAGUUUCCCUUCCUCUUCUGUUUAGUGUAGGAUUUUUCACUUGCAUGCACAUGGCACUUGACACACCUGAUUGAACUUGCAAAGUUCAAACUGUGGACAUGAGUUGUGAGCGAGAAAGCCCUGAGAAUAGAAUCAGAUUCCAAAAUCUGAUUUUGGAAGAUGAAGAGGUAAUUUCAUCGAUAGUCUGAACAAUUUCGAUAACAAUUGAACAUUGUUUUCGUCAAUCCUUCUUAGGUGUUUUAGGUGUAUAUAAGAAGUGUUCCCUACUUUGGGAACUACAUGAAUGGAUGAGGAAACUAAAAAGGCAGCAUAUGAGGUGUAGUUCUGCCAAUCAAUUCCAAAAUUUUACUAUUUCCAAGUAAAUAAUGUUUACUGAGUUGUACUCGGCAUUCAGCACAUAGACAUAGUGUUUACUUUGUUCCACUAGCAGAGGAGAAGUACCAAGGUUGCAGGAAGUGAUUCUGGAGCUAAUUUGAAGGAAGAGACAUUUGGUUAUUGAGAUUUGAGACACAAAGUUGAUCUAUUUUCCUGUGGAAACUAUAGAAACUGGUACUUCUGCAGAAAUUGAAGAUGAUAUGGCUUUAGCUCUUAUAGGUAUUUGGCAAUUUCUGAUGUUAAAAAGGUUGAAAUGCAAUGUGUUGUGAUAUAUAGGGAGCUUGUAAUUAUAAUGUCUAUAUAUAUUCUUGCACGAAGUGUUGAAGAUGUCUUAACUUUUGAAAGAGGGAAAUGCCGGUAAAUGCAUUUGACUGGUUUCUUCUCCAUUGAUAUUCGGCCUGGUGACCUUAGGUUUGCCACUGGUGGUGGUGAUCACAAGGUAACUGCUUUUUCAUUCUUUACCAAUUAGUAUAUUUUGUUAAUGUAGAUUAUGGUUUUUAUCUGGCUCCAUUACUAUUUGCUUUGUCUAUAGUUUUAUAAUUUACCCAUCGGGUACACGCAAUCGAAGUGAUCUGCCUCGAUUGGAGGGACUAACAUACAUCUCCAAGUUUAGCAGGUUUGCCACUGGUGGUGGUGAUCACAAGAUCCAAGACACUUCAACUUCUUCGCAUUUGCUGAUAGACUCCUUGUAGUAGCAUUGUGCCAUACUACCAUUGAACAUUGAGUUUAUCAUUCAACUUAUGGAUUCGUAGGAAGAUGGCUGAGUUGCAUGUACCCUAUGGAGAUGGCUGCACUACUUUUAACUUCGUAGUUUUUCCUUCUAAAGUUGGAGACUGAUGCUAUACUUCUAACUCACUGUAAUAUUUUUGCAUUCCGUACUAAACAUUUUUUAUGUCGUGCUUUGUUAGAAGAGGUUGUUUUAAGAAUGACUUCUCCAAAUAAGAAUUUGGAAUUGUUGUGCUAUUGGUACUUCAAUCACGAUGUGUUAAUUGUUUCUCCCAGUUCUUACUAAUGGUUGCUCCUUCAUUCCUCUUGAUUUUAUAAAUUCAUCGAACACGUUCCUGCAAGUUUCACCCAUCUUAUCCUUUUGUAUUUCAUGUAAAAUCCUUACUGUUGG
Long non-coding RNA from Lycium barbarum (goji berry), 2561 nucleotides. RefSeq lists it as uncharacterized. The record is from RefSeq and is a predicted model, not a curated record. The transcript is spliced from 4 exons. NCBI's taxonomy places the organism in Eukaryota, Viridiplantae, Streptophyta, Magnoliopsida, Solanales, Solanaceae.